UGCGUAGGGUCCUAGCGUUGUCCGGAAUUAUUGGGCGUAAAGAGCUCGUAGGCGGUGUGUCGCGUCGGAUGUGAAAGCCCGGGGCUUAACUUCGGGUCUGCAUUCGGUACGGGCAUGCUGGAGUUCGGUAGGGGAGACUGGAAUUCCUGGUGUAGCGGUGAAAUGCGCAGAUAUCAGGAGGAACACCGGUGGCGAAGGCGGGUCUCUGGGCCGAUACUGACGCUGAGGAGCGAAAGCGUGGGGAGCGAACAGG
RNAcentral lists this ribosomal RNA (253 nucleotides) under uncultured bacterium. RNAcentral describes it as "partial 16S ribosomal RNA". It matches the Rfam family "Bacterial small subunit ribosomal RNA", at positions 524 to 776 of the family's 1533-position model. The record is from RNAcentral.